This is an RNA transcript of Oncorhynchus tshawytscha (Chinook salmon), 910 nucleotides long. It is a transcript of the gene named thyroid receptor-interacting protein 11-like, with no coding region annotated. The transcript has 5 exons. The record is from RefSeq and is a predicted model, not a curated record. NCBI's taxonomy places the organism in Eukaryota, Metazoa, Chordata, Actinopteri, Salmoniformes, Salmonidae.
GGCAGCCACCCAGUAGGUUGAGACCCUGAGAGGAGCUCUGGAGGAGAAGGACAAGCAGCUGGGAGGCAUGAAGGAAGACAACAGCCACCUGAAGGAGGAGAGAGAGCGUCUGAGGGACCAGCAGGGUAGGCCCCAGCUCCCCGGCCUGGCCGAGCCACGUACCCCGGACAUCAUCAAUGAACUGGAGUCGGACAUCACCCAGCUGAAGACCUCAGGAGAUGCCUGGAGGAGGACCAUAGAGGACCAGCGGGGGCACCUCCUCUCCUCCCAGCAGUCUCUCAUGGCGCAGCAGAAUGAGUUGGAGCAGGCCCACCAACGCCACGAGCAGAGCAGAGAGAACUACGAUAGGCUGAUCCACGCCAAGGACGAGGAGAUUGGGCGCCUGCAGCAGGAAGUAGUAGAUCACUUCGGCCCUACCCGAUACUCCCAGGAACAGGAAAUGGUCAUUCUCCAACGGGAAGACGAGACCAAGUCGUCCCUGAAUAACAGGGAGAACGGCAACGAGAAACACGACCUGUCCAAGAUGGAGGUAGAGAGACUAGUGAAGGCAUUAAGGAGAAGGAGACGGAGAUCAGCCAGCUGAAUCAGAAGAACCAGAACCUCACCAGACAGCUGGACCAGCUGGUGGUCUCCAGAGAGGAGAUGGGGAAGCUCAGCCAGAUGGUCUAGCAGAAAGACGUAGAGAUCCAGGCGCUGCACUCCCACGUCUCCCUGGGGGGGACGAGGCCACAGCCAAGACGUGAUGUUCCUCCAGCAGCAGCUGCGGGCCUACGCCGUGGAGAGAGAGCAGGCCCUGGCGGUGCUGAAUGAGAAGACGAGGGAGAACAGCCGGCUGAGGGGAGACUACCAGCACAUCAUUGACAUUGUAGCAGGGAAGGAGGCUCCUCAAGGUCCAGCAGGAGAACAUGAG